Molecule: long non-coding RNA, 523 nt
Organism: Piliocolobus tephrosceles (Ugandan red Colobus)
Lineage: Eukaryota; Metazoa; Chordata; Mammalia; Primates; Cercopithecidae
Exons: 2
Source: RefSeq, a predicted model, not a curated record
UGGCUCCUCAGGGUUGGGGCACUGCCUGGCCCAGUGGCCUUUGUUGCCCCACUUGAAGCAGGUGCCAGGUGGCGUUUGGGGAGUACCUCCUCUCGGAGAGCUCCUGGAGCCGGCCGGCCUCAGGGCUGCUACCAAGGCCUGGGUUUGGAGGUCUACCUUCUGCUUUAGCCUCGCCUGUCGCUGAGCCUCAGCGGCUUCCUCCCUGGAGUUGGAGACCUUGAAGGCCAGUUUGACUAAAUCCUGGAUGGGAGUUUGAGGGCCGUCCUCCACCAUUUUUAAUUUUUUCGGAUAUCUGGAGCCGACUGAGAAAUAAAGUACGUAGCCAAGACGGUUCCUCCUGCGGGGGAGCAGGGAGUAGAGCACAGUCAUUGAAGACAUGGGAUUGAAGCAGAAGUCCAGGCUCUAGCACUAUUGUGAAAACACGGGCAAGUUCCCUAACUUUUGUGGAUUCUUCUGUGUUCGAAAGGGAAGGUGGUACCCAUCUCCCGUGCUGUGUGUGAUCGUCGAAUGAGACACAUGUAAG